Molecule: ribosomal RNA, 432 nt
Filed under: uncultured Sulfurospirillum sp.
Lineage: Bacteria; Pseudomonadati; Campylobacterota; Epsilonproteobacteria; Campylobacterales; Sulfurospirillaceae
Description: bacterial SSU rRNA
Rfam family: Bacterial small subunit ribosomal RNA
Source: RNAcentral
CGGGCGGCAGCAGUGGGGAAUAUUGCACAAUGGACGCAAGUCUGAUGCAGCAACGCCGCGUGGAGGAUGACGCAUUUCGGUGUGUAAACUCCUUUUAUAGGGGAAGAUAAUGACGGUACCCUAUGAAUAAGCACCGGCUAACUCCGUGCCAGCAGCCGCGGUAAUACGGAGGGUGCAAGCGUUACUCGGAAUCACUGGGCGUAAAGGAUGCGUAGGCUGGAAAUCAAGUCGAAAGUGAAAUCCAACGGCUCAACCGUUGAACUGCUUUCGAAACUGGUUACCUAGAAUAUGGGAGAGGUAGAUGGAAUUAGUGGUGUAGGGGUAAAAUCCGUAGAUAUCACUAGGAAUACCGAUUGCGAAGGCGAUCUACUGGAACAUUAUUGACGCUGAGGCAUGAAAGCGUGGGGAGCAAACAGGAUUAGAUACCCGAGU